This is an RNA transcript of Symphalangus syndactylus (siamang), 2887 nucleotides long. It is a transcript of the gene named syncytin-B-like, with no coding region annotated. NCBI's taxonomy places the organism in Eukaryota, Metazoa, Chordata, Mammalia, Primates, Hylobatidae. The record is from RefSeq and is a predicted model, not a curated record.
GUGCCUUCCACCAGAUACCCAAUCUUGCAAGACAGUUAUUAAAAAGUCUCACUUUCGCUGUUUGUGCCUCUAAGUCCAUUCUUUGGGUUUGGACCUGUGAGUGUGUUUCUCACAAACCUGGGGGCCUGUCCGGGAUCUCUGUGCCUGUGUAGAGUGGGACUCCAGCUGAGAAGGGAGACGCGUCCCACCCGAUUUAGGUGGCCUACUCUGUCUGGGCAGUACCAGCUCCCCACAGAAGCCAUAGAUCAACUGGAGACUGUUAUUCAGGAGACAGUGGAGGUGACACAGGGAGAAAAGCAGGCAUCGUGGCAACGAAGGCAACCUCUUGCAUCAGCCAAGGCUAACAGGACUUCUGACUCAAACUCCACCUCCAGAGUUCGGGUUCAGCAUUUGCAGCCCGGCGACUUGGUGCUGAUUAAGACUUGGGAAGAAGACAAGCUCCACGCAAACUGGGAAGGUCCCUAUCAAGCGCUCCUGACCACUGAGACAGCCGUGUGAACAGCUGAACAGGGGGACUAUGAACCACUCCUCCUGCCUCUCUAGGCAGGGGGCAGAGUUCAAUCAGCCCAUGGGAGAACUCUCAACUCGUACCCACAUCUGAAACGUCACUGGAAAUAAUGGACUUAACAACGUCUACAAAGAGAACCAAGGAAAAUUCCAGGUUUUAGACCUGACACUUCAGGAGCUCAGAAGUUGCCGCUUCAUCCUAACAGCAAGUAAAACCUAAACGAACUGAAAAAUCAACAACUUUUCUUAGACCAAAGAAGUAAAGUUACAGUGUAAACUGCAAUCCUGAAUAUUGAAAAGAUAGGUGGAUACAGAGAAUCACAACUUACUGAAACAGUGACCUACAAGCAUAAACCUCCACAGGACCCAGUGCUAGGGUAGAAAAACCUAAAUUUUAAUUGAUGAAUUGCUGGAGGCUCAGUGUGGGCAAGUCUGAAAGUUAAAACUCCAGAGGACCCAGUCAUAGAGAUGAUGCCCUUAUAUUUUGUGAGAAUUACCUCCAAGAGCUCUACUAGGGACUCGCAGAGAAUAUGGGAGAAAAAUCUCCUUCUACUUCCAGCAGGGGGAGGGGAAAAUUACCAAUUGCAAAUACCCUAGAGCAUUCUGUUUUUAACAAGGUCUGACCUGAGGAGAAACUAUUUACUAAAGCUUAAUCAUCUGAGGUCUUAUUAGAGCCCAACCUACCUGGGGAAAUAAAAAUAUCCAACUCCGGUCACCUCUAGCCAUUCUGUCUUACGAAGGGGAAAAAAUACUGAGGAGCACUGGUGAAGUUCACAGUCCGGUAGCAAAGGUUUAUGAACUACUGACAACCAUAGACCCAUAGAAUGCUUCCCUUCCCCCACAACUUAACACCACACCACUAAAGACCUAUUUACUGAAGUUUCUUUUACUUAAUACAUCAUGUCAGGAUUUUAAAGAAAAAAACAUUAAAAAUUACAUACAUACAUGUAUACAAAGAGGCAAAAAAAAGAAGAAACAAGAAAAACCAAAAAACGGCAUUUCAAGAUACUGAACAAGCAUCAGAACCAGAGUCAGAUAUUUUAGGAAUAUUGGAAUUAUCAGACCAGCAAUUUAAAACAACUGUAAUUAGCAUGCUAAGAGCUCUAAUGGAAAAAAAAGCAGACAGCAUGCAAUGGAUAAUGUAAGCAGAAAGAUGAAAACUCCAAGAAACAAUUAAAAAAUGCUAGAGGUCAAAAAUACGAUGAGAAAGGAAGAAUGUCUUUGAUAAGCUAACUAGUAGACUGCAAACUGCUGAGGAAAGAAUCUCUAAGCGUCAAGAUAUGACAGUGGAAACAAAUAAAAAAGAAUCUAGGCCAGGCGCAGUGGCUCACACCUGUAAUCCCAGCAAUUUGGGAGGCCAAGGCAGGCAAAUCAGGAUGUCAAGAGAUCGAGACCAUCCUGGCCAACAUGGUAAAAUCCCAUCUCUACUAAAAAUACAAAAUUAGCUGGGCAUGGUGGCACACGCCUGCAGUCCCAGCUACUCAGGAGACUGAGGCAGGAGAAUCAUUUGAACCCAGGAGGUGGAGGUUGCAGUGAGCCGAGAUUACACCACUGCAUUCCAGCCUGGCAACAGAAUGAGAGUCUGUCAAAAAAAAAAAAAAUUAAAAAAAUAGCAGAAGAUUAUAGUUUCUGUUAUUAUAACCCUAAUAGCCAUAGGGAAACUACAGAAAGUAUACGAUAUGUGUAAUAGUGAUACCCAAAGGAGAUGAAAGAGAGAAAGGAUCACAAGAAAUAGUUGAAGCAAUAAUGACUAAGAAUUUUCCCAAAUUCUGUUAGACCUAAUGCCACAGAUCCAGGAAUCUAUAAAAACCCCAAGCAUGGGCCAGGCGUGGUGGCUCACGCCUGUAAUCCCAGCACUUUGCGAGGCUGAGGUGGGCGGACUACAAGGUCAGGAGUUUGACACCAGCCUGCCCAAUAUGGUGAAACCUCGUCUUUACUACAAACAUACAAAAAUUAGCAAGGUGUGGUGGUGGGCGCCUGUAGUCCCAGCUACCGGUGAGGCUGAGGCAGGAGAAUCACUUGAAACCAGGAGGCAGAGGUUGCAGCGAGCCAAGAUCAUACCAUUGCACUGGGGGACAGAACAAGACUCCGUCCCCACCUCCCAAAAAAAACAAAAAACAAAAUAAAACAAACAAAAAAACCCAAAAAAGCCACCAAGCAUGACAAAUGCCAUACACACACACAUGCCAGCCUCACCUAGGCAUAUCAUAUCCCAAUUUCAGAAAACAAAGCAAAAAACGAAAAAAGCCAGAGGAAAAAAUAUAUCUUACCUAUAGUGGAACAAAGAUAACACACUUACACCAAACUAAUUCUUGAAAACUGUGCUAACAAGAAGAAAAUAUUUGAAAUGUUGAGAGAUAAAAACCAACCUAGAACUCUG